AUUUUCUCUUUCAAAAUUUUUCCUUCUUAACGUCUUUUCCACGAUUAUUGUUCCACAAUUUCAGUUGUUCUGGUUGAGAUACAAAAAUUAGCUGAGAUUAUCCCAUUGUGUCCCAAGCUUGUAAUUUCUACGAAAAGAAAGGGACUGUGGUCUGUAUAUGGUAACAUACGCAGAGUGUUUUUCUUAUGGUAAAAGAGUUCCUUUGAUUGAUUUCAACCCCAACACACUUCGUACAUGUUACGCUGCACUAUUGUGGGACUAUAUAUGGCAUGAGAAAACAAGAAGCAAAUGCUCAUAGCGAUGUCGAAGUACUCUUGAGGCCUGGCAGGCAAAGUCGAAUAACCAGUGUCACUGAAGUUUUAGAAAUAUGAUGAUUGUUGAAUUUAUUACAUUGGA
Capsicum annuum is the source of this 396-nucleotide long non-coding RNA. RefSeq lists it as uncharacterized. The record is from RefSeq and is a predicted model, not a curated record. Lineage: Eukaryota; Viridiplantae; Streptophyta; Magnoliopsida; Solanales; Solanaceae. The transcript is spliced from 3 exons.